UCUGUAACGCUGUGCAUACAAUCAAAUA
This 28-nucleotide small RNA is filed under the name Bombyx mori (domestic silkworm). Its description in RNAcentral is "ovarian small RNA-30017". The record is from RNAcentral. Lineage: Eukaryota; Metazoa; Arthropoda; Insecta; Lepidoptera; Bombycidae.